Molecule: long non-coding RNA, 3741 nt
Filed under: Salvia miltiorrhiza (redroot sage)
Lineage: Eukaryota; Viridiplantae; Streptophyta; Magnoliopsida; Lamiales; Lamiaceae
Description: long non-coding RNA (SMIL_LNC006148)
Source: RNAcentral
CUCAAACUUUCUUGUCUAAUUUUCUCACUUUGAUUUCAAAAGCAAUAGACGACUCACUCAUUCAUAAACGUGUCCACAUAUAGAUAUGCAUUUACAGAGAAAAAAAAGAGACUGAAAGAUAUGAACUUUACCUUAUUUAUACAUUCGAGCAUGAAUUUUAUGAAGUGAUUUUACAUUGAGAAUUCAAGCAAUGAUAUAUAAAACAAGCAUGUAUUGAACUUGAAUCUUGAGCUAUGUUGUGUGGAUUGUGCUGCUGUAAGUGUCGAGUUUGGUGAGAAGUGGUAGAGAGGGCAGCAGUCGGCGGCUAUUGCUGUUCGGCCGGAAACCGAGGGAGUCUUGGCGGAGGCGGCGUCGUUUAUGGCGCUAUCGUUGCUGGGAAUUUGAGUUUAGGUGUCACACCCCAAUUCUUGAAACAAUAACUAUAACUGGGGUACGACUAAUCAUCUAAAUGAACAAGGGAAAAUCUUUGUGAAAUUUGAAUAAAAGGGAUAACAAUCGGACUUAGCCCCUUUGGAUGAAGAAAGACAUGUAUUCAAGUGAUACGAAUCAAUCAACAAACAUAAUAACUUCAGGAUCACAAGUUUAGUGUCAUGCUUCAGAUAACCAACAUUCACUGAUCGAAAUACUUGAGAGUCAAUAGUCUAGGCUCAACAAAAGAUAUUGUUUAGAAUCACAACAUAAUAGGUCUUAAGUUAAGGAACAAAAGACAGAUACUGGCUAGUUCUGCAGCGGAAAUCAAAAUAAGGAGUUGAACUCUAGCCUCAGCUCCGCCCCGUCAUCACCCGCCAUUAACCUGAAAACAUUUGAAAGUAUUUUUGGGCUAAGUACUAAUGUACUUAGUGGGCUGCAACUUUUAAAACAUUUCACAAUCUAUAAGAGCAGUUUAUCCAAUCUUACUGACAUGACAUAGAAGGUUUUAAAGAGAAAUAACUUCUAUGCAUGUUAAAACAUUUCAUAUAUAUAUAUAUUUGAUUGCGCGCAGUUGUCACACUCUAUUCUGUUACUCGCUGUGAUCCCGGACCUUUUAGCCACCGACGGAUCUCUGUCUCCCGCUGGCUUGGACUGAGGGCGUAACCCAGCCAAGUUUACUUUGACCUCGGGAUGCUACCCAGGCAGGCCUCUUAUUUCUCAUGCUCCGGAACACAUCCAGCCGAGCACCCUUAUAACGCCUCUGGUUAGAGCCUGAUGGAGAUCAACCCACCGAGUCACUAACAAGUGUACACAAUUCUUAAACAACGUAUUAGGUCAUAAGAGAACCUCAAUUGAUUAACUGCGCGAGCCUUAAACAUGGUAGAGUGCACAAAAAUAUUUAUUGGAUAAACAAUUUGUAUUUCAUGAAACAUUUAAGCUCAUUAGCUCAAUCGUACAUUUGGAAAAUAAGCCCACCUGUAUAGGCAAAGCCUGUCGUUUAACGUAAUCUCUGAAUCGGAAUAGCAGUGCUAAUCCUCCUGAUGCUCAAAGCCUACAAGAAAUCUAUUCUCAAUAGGUCUCCUUGAAUCUAAUCUUAAGUCAUGGUGUAGUGCUUAAUAUUCUAUGAUUCACUUAGCCGGGUUUUCAAAAUUUGAAGAAUAAAUAAUUGAAAACAUUUCUCUUGAGUUAAGAACACCAACAAUAUUCUCACUCAUCUUUCUUUAAUAAUUGGAAUUAUAAAUAAAACCAAUUAAAUCAUAAAUACUUUUAUUGCAAAAUAUAAUGCAAUUUCAUGUCAUGCUUAGCAUAUAAUAAGUAAUUACUUAAAAUAUGCACAUAAUAAUAAUUUAAUAUUAUUAUGCAAAUUAAAAUAAUUAAUCAAACUUAAUAAGUCUAAUUAAUUAAAAUAGUGCAGUCCAAUUAAAAGAAUAAGCUGCACAGCCCAAUUGAGUAAAUUAAAUAAAGGCCCAACUGUUUAAUAAAAUAAAAACCGGCCCAACACAGAAUCCCAACUCCCCAAGCCCAAACCUAGCCUUUAUUUUCUUCCUUUCCUCCCUCCAUCAGUCACGCCACACACACAUUCAGUCCCUCACUGCUCGUCUCCCUCACUGCUCGCCCCUCUCUCUCUCUCGCGGUUCACGCCAACCCGCCGCCGCCUCCAGUCGAUGAAGGACGCCACCUUCAUUUCUACACAAACCUGGCUCAGAGCGGCGACAAAGCCCUUGCCUCGCCGCCUCUCCCUCAGAUCUCCGGCCGACAACAGCAGAUGAAGCAAGCUGCCGCCGAUUCUCCCUCGGCUCUCUCUCAAAAUCGACACCCACAACUCACUCCGUCCGAUUCGCCUUCCUCCUUGGAAACGGUGAGAUCACCGCUCCCUCCAUCUCUACUCUGCUAUUCCUUCGUCCGUGGCCGAGCGACAGCGGCAGGGCCGCCGCGUCCUGGCCUCCCUCUGUUCUCUUUCCUCCUUGGCGAUGACGGAACGCCGCCGCCCCAACCCAACUCUCUCUCUCUCUGUGACAGUGGCGAACCACCACCACCACCGACCGCACACCACUCUCCCUUCCUCCGCUGGACGGACAGUAGCGAUGUGCCACCGCCGUCGACGCCACAACAAUCACCACCCAACCAAACUACCGACUAGAGCACGAAGCAGCCCAAGACUCGACUUUUCCCUUUUCUUUUAAAACAUUCAUACUUUAUCUACAUACGCAGAUCAUAUGCUCAUGUAUACUCGUAUAGAAGUUUGAUUAAAUAAACACUGUGAACGUAUGAAUGCGCGUGAAUCUCUGUUGAGUAGCUGUAAGAUUUCAUGUAUUGUUCAUGUUUGUGAAAUGGAAUAAACAGAGUUCAAAAGAUGAAACCUUUAGUGGUUUUUUGGUUUGAGGUUGCUGAAUUUGAAAGGUGCAGCUGCUGGAUUUACUGCUACUGAACUUGGUGAAUGGAGCUAGUAGAAUAACUACAGAUAUUGAUUUAUUUUCAAUACUUGCAUGAUGAAACAUGAAAGAAAUGGAGAAAUUUCAAGUUCAAAAACUCAAACUUACAUGUGUAGUUAGCAUAACGCUUGGGAGAGAGUUGGGAGCUGCUGAAAAUUGUAAAGAGGUGCCAGGAAAUGGCCUUGAGUGUUUUGAUUUAGCGUGGGGGUUGGACUUGGACUGCAUACCUAAAGACAUGACUUAAAGUUUAAAGCUGAUUUUUUUGGGGGUUGUUUGAAAAGACAAUGUAUGGUGUAGGGUGGCUGAUAGGAGGUAUGAUAUGAGUGUUGAUUGGACAAUUAAAUCCCUCAGGAUAAAAUAUCGAGACUGUAAUAAUUCCUCAGGGUUCACUAAUUAAAAGCUCGUGAAAAUGCUUGAAUGCAAAAUUAAAUAAAUAUGCAAUACAUAUAAAUUUAAUAACUAAUUUACAAAUGCUUUUGUAAAUCAUUUUUGUUGGAAUUAAAAAUAAAUUCUUUUUUCUUUAUCCGGCGUGAAUCAUCUUAAAUCUAAGUUCGAAAAUUAUUCUAAACUUAGCUCGAGGAAACGGGGUAUUACAUUAGGGCACGAUGGCGGCGAGGAGCCGCUGUCACCGCCAGAAAUCAGGGAGAUGAGGUAGUGGUUGGAUCGAGAGUAGCAGGCAGCGAUAGGGGCGGCGGUUUCACGCCCUGUUAUGAGUCGGAACAGAGAUGGAGAUUCGGAGGGAGCCUUGGUAUGGUGUGUGUGUUCUGUUGGUUGGGCCUAGGGCUUCAGGCGGCGGUGGCCUCGUCGUCGCUGCCCUGAGUCGCCGGAGUUGAGGAAGCGGAAACCUAGGGCUUGCAGAGCGGCGGCGGCCGGAACUAGAGGAGAAUAGAGAUGAGGG